Molecule: non-coding RNA, 1256 nt
Organism: Bubalus bubalis (water buffalo)
Lineage: Eukaryota; Metazoa; Chordata; Mammalia; Artiodactyla; Bovidae
Source: the annotation of a RefSeq genome assembly
CGUGUGGAGUUUUUGAAACCUUGCUUCAGAGGCUGCAAAUCCAUGAGACCAUGGACCUUCGGCCACUAGGAGGCACUGUGUUUCCAUGGUAAGCAGGGUGCCCUGGGAGGGGUUGAGAGUCACCUGGAGAAGGAAGCUUAAGGGAACCUUGGCUACAUGCCUGCACCUGGGAGCAGGUUUGAGUUCCCUGAGUGGUCCUGGGACACAUGGAGCCAGCACAGACUCCUCUCUGCUCAGGGAAGAGGGGUCGUGCCUGGAGCCUCAGGAUGUGCCCAGGGGGCCAUCUGUGAAGCAGCAUGGGAAGGGGAGGGUGAGAAGUUGGGGUAUCUGGUGAGGGCUGGGUGAUGAGUGUCUGGCAGGGUCAGACAGAGCAGAACAAGAGUGUGUGGACACAUGGGACCAGGGGAUGAAGCUCCCCUCACACCCAUCCUUGCUGAGGGGCGGUCAGGACAGAGAAGGGCACAGAGGAGCCAGCCCUGGGUCCUGCCAAAGGGUCCAGGGGAUAAGUGCAGCAGGCAGAGACACAGAGCAGUGACGUCAUAGGCAAAUGCUCCAGUCAGGGAAGCAGGAGGGUCGGCACUUUACACCACUCACCCCAGGAGACCUGCCCCCAGCCAGCAGUGGUCCUGGGUUCCUGAUGCUGCCAUGGGCUCCAGGCUCCUCUGCUGUGUGACUCUCUGCCUCCUGGGAGCAGGUCUGGUGGAUUCUGGGGUCACCCAGACCCCCAAAUACCUGAUCAAAUCAAGAAAGCAGCAAGUGAUUCUGAGAUGUUCCCCUGAGUCUGGACACCGCUAUGUAUCCUGGUACCAACAGGCCCUGGGCCAGGGCCCCCAGUUCCUUGUUCAGUAUUUUGAUGGGAAAGUGAGUACAAAAGGAAACAUGCCAGAUCGAUUCUCAGGUGAACAGUUCAGUGACUCUCGCUCUCAGAUGAACCUGAGCUCCUUGGAGCUGACAGACUCAGCCGUGUUUCUCUGUGCCAGCAGCCAAGACACAGCCCUGCAUGAUCAGGUGCCUCUGAUACAAAAACACUCCUGUCCCAGCUCAGGAAGUGGUUGUAGGGCAUUGACUGCCAGCCAGCAAGACACAGCUGCUGGUAGAGUGGACAGUCUUUCCCAAACAUUCUUUCCUGAUAUGUUUUAAUGCUCACAAAGAUUUUGCAAGAUAAGCCUUAUUUUAUCUGCUUAUUUAUCUUAGAGGAAGUGACCUGUCAUAUUACUUAACUGUUAGAGCAAGGAAUACUACUCGAAUCUGACCUU